UUAAAAUGAGAGUUUGAUCCUGGCUCAGGACGAACGCUGGCGGCGUGCCUAAUACAUGCAAGUCGAACGAAACUUUCUUACACCGAAUGCUUGCAUUCACCGUAAGAAGUUGAGUGGCGGACGGGUGAGUAACACGUGGGUAACCUGCCUAAAAGAAGGGGAUAACACUUGGAAACAGGUGCUAAUACCGUAUAUCUCUAAGGAUCGCAUGAUUCUUAGAUGAAAGAUGGUUCUGCUGUCGCUUUUAGAUGGACCCGCGGCGUAUUAACUAGUUGGUGGGGUAACGGCCUACCAAGGUGAUGAUACGUAGCCGAACUGAGAGGUUGAUCGGCCACAUUGGGACUGAGACACGGCCCA
This 357-nucleotide ribosomal RNA is filed under the name Ligilactobacillus salivarius. Its description in RNAcentral is "bacterial SSU rRNA". It matches the Rfam family "Bacterial small subunit ribosomal RNA", at positions 1 to 333 of the family's 1533-position model. Lineage: Bacteria; Bacillati; Bacillota; Bacilli; Lactobacillales; Lactobacillaceae. The record is from RNAcentral.